Molecule: long non-coding RNA, 772 nt
Filed under: Homo sapiens (human)
Lineage: Eukaryota; Metazoa; Chordata; Mammalia; Primates; Hominidae
Description: HSALNT0086616
Source: RNAcentral
CAAGAGGAUUCUCACAGACUCACUGCUGCAGGGCUUUAAAAUCUCAGCCUCAUCUAUUGAACACUAGCCCAGCUAUGCAUGGAAGGAGUGAAGAGGAUGCUGCUGGCAGAGAACUCAUCGGCAGCAGCCCCCAGAGGAUAAUGUACAAGGCACGUUCUGUACAGGGAGUCUGCCAGCCUGGCCAAGAGCACCCCCAAAAGCACUUGGAAUGAGCCCAGCUACACCAAGGCUUCCCUCAACCCCUCAAAGCAGCAAGAUUUAUGCAAGCCUCCUGUGACAGCAGAGCUUCUGUCCCAUCAGUAGCCUUAUCAAAUCUGUCCUAUAGCCCCAUCAGACCUGAGCGAACACCUGCUUUCCAGAUGUACAGACGCCAAGAGGAAUCUGAGACCAGAGUGGUGAAGUGAUUUACCCAACAUUGUCUACCUGGGUGUCAGCACAGCCUGAGCUCAGACUUCCCUGCGUGGUUCCAUCGUUUAGUCAACAAAUAUUUAUUGAUUGCCUACAACAUCACACAGACCAUUUAGAGAUUGGAUCUCGCUAUGCUGCCAAGGCUGGUUGCAAACUCCUGGCCUCAAGUGAUCCUCCCACCUUGACCUCCCAAUGUGCUGUGAUUAUAGGUGUGCAUCACUGCACCUGGCAUUGAUUCAGUAGACUUUGAAUAAAGCAGAUUAUUCCCCAAAAUGUGAGUGGGCCUCAUUCAAUCGGUUGACAACAUUGAGAAAAAAAAAGGUCCCUCAAGGAAGAAGUUCUGCCUCCAGACAAUCUUCAGGCU